This 486-nucleotide ribosomal RNA is filed under the name Yersinia intermedia. RNAcentral describes it as "bacterial SSU rRNA". It matches the Rfam family "Bacterial small subunit ribosomal RNA", at positions 33 to 508 of the family's 1533-position model. Lineage: Bacteria; Pseudomonadati; Pseudomonadota; Gammaproteobacteria; Enterobacterales; Yersiniaceae. The record is from RNAcentral.
ACGCUGGCGGCAGGCCUAACACAUGCAAGUCGAGCGGCAGCGGGAAGUAGUUUACUACUUUGCCGGCGAGCGGCGGACGGGUGAGUAAUGUCUGGGAAACUGCCUGAUGGAGGGGGAUAACUACUGGAAACGGUAGCUAAUACCGCAUGACCUCGUAAGAGCAAAGUGGGGGACCUUCGGGCCUCACGCCAUCGGAUGUGCCCAGAUGGGAUUAGCUAGUAGGUGGGGUAAUGGCUCACCUAGGCGACGAUCCCUAGCUGGUCUGAGAGGAUGACCAGCCACACUGGAACUGAGACACGGUCCAGACUCCUACGGGAGGCAGCAGUGGGGAAUAUUGCACAAUGGGCGCAAGCCUGAUGCAGCCAUGCCGCGUGUGUGAAGAAGGCCUUCGGGUUGUAAAGCACUUUCAGCGAGGAGGAAGGCAGUCGUGUUAAUAGCACGAUUGAUUGACGUUACUCGCAGAAGAAGCACCGGCUAACUCCGUGC